UGUGGUUGCAAGAGGGUGACAGAAAUAUAAAAUUCUUCCACAUCUCAACAUCCAACAGAUUGAGGAAGAAUCAGAUUAUGGAGAUAUAUCACAAUGACAAAGUUCUCAAAUCUUAAAUAGAAAUUGAGUAGAUCUUCCUAUCUUAUUUUCAGUCCCUUCUUGGUACACUGGGAGUUAAGCUUGCAGACAUCGAUUGAGAGAAUCUUUGCUCUGGUCCUCCACUAGAUUUGAUGUCGCUCAUCUCUCCAUUCACUGCUAAGAAAAUCAAGACAACAGUUUUUAGCUUAGCCAAAAACAAAUCCCCCGGCCC
This 310-nucleotide long non-coding RNA is filed under the name Elaeis guineensis (African oil palm). RNAcentral describes it as "long non-coding RNA (EGUI_LNC027992)". Lineage: Eukaryota; Viridiplantae; Streptophyta; Magnoliopsida; Arecales; Arecaceae. The record is from RNAcentral.